RNAcentral lists this long non-coding RNA (1067 nucleotides) under Sus scrofa (pig). RNAcentral describes it as "lncRNA (ENSSSCG00065070980.1)". Lineage: Eukaryota; Metazoa; Chordata; Mammalia; Artiodactyla; Suidae. The record is from RNAcentral.
UUGGAGCAUCUUCUUAUACUCAGAGGAAAUGUUAUUGAAAGUUGCAGCUAGUGAGAAAUUGAGGAACAGAUGCUUGAUAGUUGGUGUGCAGUUUUUGCCUGUAGUCGUAAUUGGCAGGGGCAGUUCCACGGCGUUUCAGAGGCCGAGGUGGAAAAGGAGGAAAUAGAAGGGGCUGGAGACUGACGGUCACAGCAUAGAGGCAGCCACCAAGGAUGAACUGGAGCAAAAAAGCAGAACUGUCUACAAGGCACAUAUCCCUGAAAGAGUAUUAUGCAGAGAAGCCCCAACAGCAGCGGCUGUGGCUGAGCGAAUCCUGCUUGGAAGCUGGAGAGACCCCGGGGAUCGAGCCCGGGAGCGCUAGAAGCGAAGGGUGCUGGCCACCACCCGGCCGCCCUUCCUGCCUUUGCCCCAAGAGGGCCGCCACUGCCGAAGAGGCCGCCAGCAGCGCGCAUCCCGGUCACCAGCGCCGAACCCGGGUGUCCAGGGCCCGCGGCGGAGCCCAGCUGGAGCGGGUGGGACGGGGGCCAGCACCCCGAGGUCGGCGGCCGCGCCAAGCUGCCAAGGUAACGAGGGAUAGCUGGGGAGGCGGGGGUGGCGGUGACGGAGGGAGGGAACCCGGCGAACGCCGCCUCCCCGCAGCCGCUUCCCGGAAUCCCCUUCCAGGCCCCUGUCCCUCCCCCGAGACUCCUCCAGCUCCUGCCUGUGCUCGGUGCCCGGGGGCUUUGGCUCGCCCGUCGCUGCCCUCCUGCAGGGGGUUGUCCCCACCCCCACCCCCCACCGCGCCCCCGCGGCCGGGCGGGUCAUUAGAGGGUGUCGGCUUGCUGUCCCCCCUCGGCCACGCUGCCCUCUGCCCUGCGGGGACUUCCUCCGUUCACCCCUCCCGGGAGUCUUCACAGAACCCAGCCCCUCACCCCCACCUCUGGCCGGAUACUGGCGGUUGCAACAUGAGAGCCUUUGUGAAGUUCGAAAGUCAGAUUCCUCCCGAGGCACUCUGCCUCGCAAAACUGAGUGAUCGGCUCGGGUCUCCGGUUCGGGGUCUGCCGCCCGCCCUUCACGAGAACACUUGA